This 272-nucleotide ribosomal RNA is filed under the name uncultured prokaryote. RNAcentral's name for it is "partial 16S ribosomal RNA". It matches the Rfam family "Archaeal small subunit ribosomal RNA", at positions 474 to 743 of the family's 1478-position model. The record is from RNAcentral.
CACCAGCGCCAUGAGUGGCAAUCAUAAUUAUUGGGCCUAAAGCGUCCGUAGCCGGUCUAAAAAAGUCUUUUGUGAAAUCGUUGUGCUCAACAUAACGGCGUGCAAGAGAUACUAUUAGACUUGGAACCGGAGAAGAGUCAGAGGUAUUCUAAGGGGAGCGGUAAAAUGCUAUAAUCCUUGGAGGACCACCUGUGGCGAAAGCGUCUGACUAGAACGGCUUCGACGGUGAGGGACGAAAGCCAGGGGAGCGAACCGGAUUAGAUACCCCCGUA